RNAcentral lists this ribosomal RNA (308 nucleotides) under uncultured bacterium. RNAcentral describes it as "bacterial SSU rRNA". It matches the Rfam family "Bacterial small subunit ribosomal RNA", at positions 28 to 334 of the family's 1533-position model. The record is from RNAcentral.
GAUGAACGCUAGCGGGAGGCUUAAUACAUGCAAGUCGAGGGGUAACAUGAGAGCUUGCUCUUGAUGACGACCGGCGCACGGGUGAGUAACGCGUACACAACCUACCUUCAAGGAGGGGAUAGCCUCGGGAAACUGAGAUUAAUACCCCAUGUGAUUAACUUAUAAUAUGAUUGGUUAAUUAAAGAUCCGUCGCUUGAAGAUGGGUGUGCGUCCCAUUAGGUAGUUGGUGAGGUAAUGGCUCACCAAGCCGAUGACGGGUAGGGGGCGUGAGAGCGUGACCCCCACACGGGUACUGAGACACGGACCCG